UGCAACCCGCGAUUCUUGGAAAGUAAGUUGAUCCCUACCCUAAAUGCCUCCCUUCUUGACCAUAUGAAGCUAAGCUUUCUCCCUUCAACCUCAUUUUUUUAAACGACAAAUAGUUAUAUAUUAUUCUAUGACGUCCUACUUAGUUGUUGUUAGCUUAAACCUCCGUGUCAGCGAUAGCCCCAACUUGUUCCCUUGAACCUCAUAACCGAAGAAAACGAGAGAGAAAGUGAUGGGUGUCGGCUAGGGUUUUCAGGAGGAAGAAGCAACCAUAGAGGUCGAUUCCAUCCACCCCCAAGGUAUGUUUGCGUCCCAUUAAAUUUCCAUUGCCACUGUGGAGGCCGGAGCAGCCUCCGACGACCCUUAAACCGCCGGAAAACCGGAUUUUCUGUUUAGGUUCGUUUUCAGUUGAGUUGAGCGGGUUCUUGGCCUUUAUAUCUCUUUCUAAAGAUGUGUUUUAGUCCCUUUAAUACCCGAGAUCAAGUGUGGACAGCUAGAACCAAGAAUAUAACCUCCAAACGCAUGAAAAUCUUCUCAUAAACACAUAUUGUGGGAUUUUGUUUAUUAUUAUUAUUUUUUUGUGUUGAACGAAUUUAGUUCUAUUCUCUUGGAUCUAUUAAUUUCUGAACUUAUUAAAGGUUGCUAGGACUAGUAUUUACCUUACUUAACUUUCUUUAGUCUUGUGUUGAUGUCUAGAAAACAACAUUUUUACUUCAAUUUGUCCUAAAAACCCACAAACAGAAGAGCUUUACUCCGUGAAUGAUUUUGGUCCAUGAAAUUUGAUUUUCAACUAAGUUUUACUGUUAAAACAUAGCCUAGAUCAUGUCUUCCAAGUUUGUCUCUGUUCAUUUUUCCUCUGUGAUUGCUCAUCCUUACAAGUUAGUUUUGCUUGUUUUUACAUAAUUUCAUUUACUAAUAACUCACAUCAUAGUCAGCUGUUUUUUCGUUAAUAGCUGAUUAAAUUUUGUUUAUUUUAGCUACUUUGGUUUAGUUUUACAUAUAAUUAGGAUAUUACACAGUCCAGCAUGUUCCUGCGUGAGGUCUAAUAAACAAAACAUUCGGAAAUUCUCCAAUCCCGUAAAAAUGCUCCUUAAUUCCUUUAUAUUUUCUAAUCGUUUUUUUUACGUUUGAUUCUUUCUGAGUAAUGCUAUCUGCUCCUUAAUGGUAACUCAAACACUGAUAAUGAACAAAAACUUCAAGAUCCAGUUGUAGUAAUUCUAAAUUUCGUGGUGAUGUUCCCAUUUUGCAAUAGUUAUAGUCCUUGAAAUCAAGAUUAGGAUUUUACUAGUGCAGCCUCUAGAUAGUCAAAUCAAUCAGUUAAUGCUCUGUUUAUAUGCAAAUAAGCGGGAUUUGGUUUAUGCUUCUAGGUAUAAAAUUGAUUUAGGUGUUUUUUUCAAAUCUUACACCCAAGACUUUUAUUUGUGCUGUUGUGCAUAUAGUUGUCUUACCUAAGAGGCUAAGACAAAGUGUAAUCAAUCUGCUUUGUGCAUAUAAUUACUUCCUCAUUUGUGUGCUUGGCUUGGUUACUUUGAUAGGUUAAUGGUUUACUCAAAUUGAAACCCUAAUUUUCUUCUCUGGCUUCAUUUUGUUGAAAUUUCUUGUUUGGCUUCACUUUGAUCAAAUUUAGAUUUAAGGUUUUUGUUUUGAGUUGUGGCAAGUUUAGGUCUCAAUUGCACUCCGUUCUCUCUAUUUUUCUUAUCGAUCGUGUAAGACACAUACAAUCACACACUAACAUGAAUCCGUUGGUACACUUUGCUAAAUUCCUAGUUUGGCUUUACGUUGCUGAAUUCCUUAUUCCUAUUAAUGAUUUUUGUUUUGAGUUAUGACUAGUUUGGGUCUCAAUUGCACUCUUUUUUUUUAAAAAAAAACAUGUAUCUUGCUUCAUCCACCGCCAAAAUUGUGAACUUGUUGAUACUCUUACCAAAGUGAUCGGGUGUUUAGUAUGACCUCGCAGUAUAUAUAUAUAUAUNNNNNNNNNNNNNNNNNNNNNNNNNNNNNNNNNNNNNNNNNNNNNNNNNNNNNNNNNNNNNNNNNNNNNNNNNNNNNNNNNNNNNNNNNNNNNNNNNNNNUAUAUAUAUAUAUAUAUAGCUGUUCCUCCUGUUAUAAUACUCUGAUAGCUUCAAAAAAAGUCGGUGGUUUAAAAUCCAAACUGGUAGCAACGCCAUAAGCAAACCCAAACUACACAAAAACCAGUAAGGAAAAGAUAAAUACAAAGAGGAAAAAGAUACCUUUGUGAAUCAUCCACUAUCAAAAUUGUGAACUUGUUCAUAUUCAAACUCAAAGCGAUGGGGUUUUUAAUGAUCUCAUAGUGGAGCUCUUUUGUUUUAUCUUUUCCAUUUCCGUGUUCCUCCUCCUGUUAGCAUACUCUGCUAGCUUCAAAAAAAUUGGUAGUUUAAAAUCCAAACUCUUAGCAAUGCCAUAAGCCAACCAUUUCGAUGAAAGCAAUUAGAUGACAAAAUGAUUGAUCUUGUAGUUGUUUCAAGCAUGGAAUUUAUUGUUGUUUUUUUGAGGAUUAUUUAACCGAAAUGUGAAUGGAUUUUACUUUUACAACUAUAAGGAUGCUUAUAUGGGUUAGUCAUAUGAAAACAAAGGUGUUUUAGGUUAAAUGAAUAUAUUGGUUUGAUAUUUUCUUCAUGGCUGUGUAAUGGUUAUUCUUUAUCAAUACUUAACUAUACCAAUGCUGGAUGAAGGAUCCAAAAACCUAUCACAUAAUUGCUAUUGCCAUGAGGAUGCCGUUGUAGAGAAUGUUAAUAAUUUGGAUUUUAUGUAGAGGAAUUGUGUACGAGAUCCUGACAUUAAGCACAAGUAAGGAAAGUGAGGAAAGCUUGUGGAACCAAUUUUCAUAACCGAGAACGUUUGGCUGAACGUAAUUCUUGGACAACAUGAUAAUAAAAGCCCGGGAUAAGGAGAAACGUGAAGUAUCAUCGCCUUCUUGGAUGAUGAAGAGAUUGUUCUCUCUGAAUAGAUGGAUCUUCAUCUUCUUCAUCAACCUAUGGUCAUAUAUAUUAGAUAUUUUUAAGUUUUGUAGGUCUUGACACUUGUAGUUUCAAUAAUUACCAUUAUGAGGCACUUAUAGAUGUCAAUAUCACUACCUUCCAUGAUGAUGAAGAAAUUGAAAUGGAGAAAGUUCGUAAACCAGAAUCGGAGAGUGCAAUUAAGCCAUCACAAACUUCUAUUAUCAUGUUGUCUAAGAAUCACACUACUUCAACAUGGUGCCGGUGAUGGUUGGUGGUGAAUUCGUGUUAAAUAUUGAGCUUGUUGGGACAGAAUCACACUUCUAAUAAUAGUCAUACCAAUUGUCUAAACCAAAACAUAAAACUUGGAGAUAUGAUGAUUCACAAAAUUGUCAAAAUCAAAACGUGUUAUCCAUGAUACCAUAUCCAUUAACUUGGUCAAAUCGAAGCAUGUAUAUGUUUUUACUUCUAGCAACUUAUAAUAACAGAUUUUUAGAUGGUACUCACCACAUAAUCAACUUAAGUUUGUUGACUUUGACCUGUAGCAUCGUACAUAUGAUGUUUGACAUUGCCCUGACGCCCACCUGAAGCCUUUGUUGCUUCAUGUUCUGACUAGUAGUAGUGGUCCGGUGUCCAGCUUCAAGUCAACAAUUAUGGUGAGUCCAAAGAACCUUAUACCUAGAACUCGAUCAUGUGUGCUUAACGUUUUGUUUAGUGCUUCUUGUGAAUGACUCUUAGUAUUUUCCACAUUGUCGGAUACUCCAAAUGAGAAACCUUCUUAAGCAUGUUAGAAGCAUCCACACACCAUCAUGUAGGUAUGAAUUUUUUUGUCUGAAACUUUAAAACAUUAAAAGAUGAUUGUAGUCCACAAUGAUGUCAUUCACAAGAAGUUCCCUAAUUAUCGAUCUCAGUUCCAAAUCAUAGGUUCUAUAUUGAAUGUGAUAUGCGGCCAUAGGCGUACACUUCGACCCAAACCAUAUUGUACUUUGAAUUAUUGAAAUUUUUAUUAGUGUAUUUAUACUUAUAAUCAAAUGGGACUAGAGAUUUACCUCAUCUUAUACCAGUAGUGUUCUUGAAUUGUCACACCCGAUCCUUAAAGCAAUGGCCUCAUUGUGCUUAAAGCUAUGGAUGUCCCAUAAUGUCAUUUAAGGGUGGGCUUGUAUUCAAUACGUUAAACGAUAAUGACAAGUACUUAACGGUUUGCAUAGGUAGUGAAAAAAUAUUGAUUCCAUAAAUAGUUCGUGUACAACUUGCCAUUGUCCUUUGAAGUUAUGGUCGACGUUGGAAUAUGUACACAUAUACUCGAGAAUAUUUCACUAUCGAAACUAAUCGUUAAGCAUAUGUAAUGAUUGCUUAAUGUACCGAAUGCAAACCCCUCCCCAAAUGAUAUUGAGGAGCUAAUUGUGUUGUUGAACGAAAAUUUGAGGCCAUCUUUGUAGAGCCCAUCAAGGGCUUAGGGCAUCAUAGAUUUAAGCACUACGAGUUCAUGGAUUUAAGGAUUAUGUCACAAUUCAAGGACAUUACUGAUAUAUGAUGGGGUAAAUCUCAAGCCCUAUAAAAGUCUAUAAACAUGAAAGUUAAAAACGGAUAAUACUUCCAUAAUUCUACAUACAAUGCGGCUCGGGCCGAAGAGGGCACAUACCACAUUCAACAUAGAACUGGAUGCAAGUCUUGUAGGAUUUUGGAAUGAGAUCGGUGAUUUGGGCACUUCUUGUGAAUGACAUUAUUGCCGACUACAAUUAUCUUUAAAAGCCGAAGAAAAAUAUUCAUACUUACCUAAUUGUGUGUGGACACUAUAAUAUGCUUACGAGGGUUUCCCACCGGGAGUGAUGUGCUUACCUAGUGUUGUGCUUACCCGACCGAGGUGGAUAACACCCGGAGUUACUUAUUGGAAGCAUUAAACAAGAAACUAAAAACAUAUAAUUGUUCUAGGUGUAAGGUCUAAUGGUGUCAUUUCAACUAUUGAAUUGAAGGCACAUACCUAAUCACUAGUCCUAGCAUGUUAGUAGUAGUAGGAUUCACAUGUUAGUAGUAGCAGGAUUUAGGUGGACGUCGGGGGAUUGCCAAAUUUGAUACACAUGAUGCCAUAGGUCAGGUCGACAACCUACACAUUGAUCAUGUUAUGAUCAUCCUCCAAAAAUCUAUGAUUGUAAGUUAUUAGAUAAUUAGAAGUAAAAAUAUGUGCAUUUUUUCGAUUUGACCAAGAUAAUGUCUUUUAUGAUACAAUACUAAAGAUACAUCCAGUAUGGAUUUUGUACCAACUUUUAUGUAUAAGUGUUUUGGUUUUGACAAUUGUUAUGAAUCGCCAUGUCUCCAUAUUACAUGUUUUGGUUUCGACAAUUAAUAUGCCCAUAUGACUAGAAGUAUUUUCUAAUUUGUUUACAAGUCGACAAAAUAACAAUGGAAGUCAUUUAUAUUUACAACAUACUAUUGGUUAGUUACUUAAUAAAGACACAUAACAUUUUUUUGAAUAAAAUUUUGUUUAUUUUAGCAACGUUUACACAAAUGUUCUUGCAUGAAGUACAAUAGACAAAACAUGGGAAAUUCUCUAAUCCUGUAAAAAUUCUCCUUAAUUCCGUUAUAAUUUCUAAUCAUGUUUUUAAAUUUGAUUGCUAUUGAAUAAUGGUAUCUCCUCCUUAAUGGUAACUCAAACAUUGGUAUUGAACAAACAUCAAUAUCCAAUUUUAAAUUUCCUGGUGAUGUUACGUAAAACUUGCUGACCAGUUGAAGCCAGAUCUUAAGACAUCAGGUUCUUGUGAGUACUUAUAGGAGUUAUAAUCCUUAAAAACAAAAUUAGGAUUUUGUUAGUGUAACCUCGAGAUAGUAAAUGAAUUAAUUAAUGCCCUAUUUAUUUACAAAUAAGUUGGAAUUGUGAUAGUGUCAUUUUAUUUACUUAUUUUUAUAGUUUAUUUUAGCAUAUUUCAUUCAUAAUUUAAUUAAUCUUCAUGUAUUUUUUUAUUUUAUGACUAUUUCGGGUACUUUCGUUUCAUGAGCAUAAUUACAGAUUUUAAGGAGACUAGCAGAGUGGGAUUUUGGGAGGCAAAUGGACUAGGAGGACAAUGAAGAAUCAUGGACUAGAAGACUUGUGGAG
This 6042-nucleotide long non-coding RNA is filed under the name Lactuca sativa (garden lettuce). RNAcentral's name for it is "long non-coding RNA (LSAT_LNC000559)". The record is from RNAcentral. Lineage: Eukaryota; Viridiplantae; Streptophyta; Magnoliopsida; Asterales; Asteraceae.